Molecule: long non-coding RNA, 689 nt
Organism: Salvelinus sp. IW2-2015
Lineage: Eukaryota; Metazoa; Chordata; Actinopteri; Salmoniformes; Salmonidae
Source: RefSeq, a predicted model, not a curated record
CCUACAACAGUGAUUCUCAGAUUUAUGUGCUCUUAUAUUGCCAUUGCUGAAGCAAGAACCACAUGAACAUCGAAGACAACCCUGAAAUACAGUCAACAGUGACAACGAGCAACACUGGGGCGUCGGGAACAUGUUCCUCUUUUCCACAACACUUCUCUUCCUGUUUCUGGUCACCUGUUCACCAGAGAAGAAAGGCGAUUUUGGAAAACUUACUGCCUGUAUCACUGAAAACAACAGCCUCAUGUUGGAAUGCGAGUACCCACCAUGUCCAGAUUCACCGCCCUUUGAUUGUGACUUCCUCACCACAGAGGACGGGGUCCUGUUGGGGAGCUCUUACAAAAACUUUCAGAUGACAAAUGACUCAACCUUUCACAUUACAGCAAAAGGUCGGUGUCAGCUUAUUCUCAUUGGCCAUGCCCUAACUCAUUCCAACGAGACAAAGAGUUAUAACUGUACUUUGAUACGGAAACGUAGAGAAGAGAGGAAGAACAUCACUAUAAACUACAUGAACCCCCACAAAAAACAACACAUCAAACCUUGCUCUACCAUGGGGUGGAUGUUGCAUCAAGCUCCCACCCUGCUAUGGCCUGUGGUAUUCAUGUCACUAUGGAAGAUCCUCUCCUGAAUGCACAACCUACCCUUACAAGCUGAAGCUCAACUCUGUCUGAAUUAGGAUACUCUGUACAAUU